GCAUUUCGAUCUGGUGGUGGGCUCGCUAAGGCGGCCUCGACCAGUCAUGCGUGAUUGAAACGAACAGCCGCCCGAAACCUUCGAGGCGGCUUUUUC
This 96-nucleotide non-coding RNA is filed under the name Mycoplana azooxidifex. RNAcentral describes it as "RcsR1 sRNA". It matches the Rfam family "RcsR1 sRNA". Rfam says of the family: RcsR1 (rhizobial cold and salinity stress riboregulator 1) trans-acting sRNA, formerly known as SmelC587, is a stress-related riboregulator, conserved in Sinorhizobium, Rhizobium and Agrobacterium. The record is from Rfam by way of RNAcentral. Lineage: Bacteria; Pseudomonadati; Pseudomonadota; Alphaproteobacteria; Hyphomicrobiales; Rhizobiaceae.